CAGCAGCCACGGUAAUACAGAGGAUGCAAGCGUUAUCCGGAAUGAUUGGGCGUAAAGCGUCUGUAGGUGGCUAUUUAAGUCAGCGGUGAAAGACUCCGGCUCAACCGGAGCAGUGCCAUUGAUACUGGAUAGCUUGAGUGUUGGAGGGGUACAUGGAAUUGAUGGUGUAGCGGUGAAAUGCGUAGAGAUGUGGAGGAACACCAGUGGCGAAGGCGACUCUCUGGUCUGUAACUGACGCUGAGGAGCGAAAGCGUGGGGAGCAAACAGGAUUAGAUACCCCUGUAGUCCCUGUCUCUUAUAC
This 301-nucleotide ribosomal RNA is filed under the name uncultured bacterium. RNAcentral describes it as "partial 16S ribosomal RNA". It matches the Rfam family "Bacterial small subunit ribosomal RNA", at positions 509 to 807 of the family's 1533-position model. The record is from RNAcentral.